GUUUUCUGCUCGGUCUCGCCGGGGUCGCCUUCCUGGAACACUUUGGUUAUUGAUUCCGCUGAAAGAGCCGGAGUGCGAAGACUGCGCUUCCCAGGGGACGAAGGGAGUGGGGAGGAGAGCAGGCUGGCGGUUACGGGAGGGAGUUGAUAAACUUUAGGAGGGAUGCAGGGCGUUCCUCGGUACCCUAGGGCCUCCU
Molecule: unclassified non-coding RNA, 196 nt
Organism: Bos indicus x Bos taurus (hybrid cattle)
Lineage: Eukaryota; Metazoa; Chordata; Mammalia; Artiodactyla; Bovidae
Source: Ensembl